AAUAUAAAUGAUGGCGACCGGCGCACGGGUGAGUAACACGUAUCCAACCUGCCGUUUACUCGGGGAUAGCCUUUCGAAAGAAAGAUUAAUACCCGAUGGCAUAUAUUGAUUUCAUGGUCUUUAUAUUAAAGAAUUUCGGUAAACGAUGGGGAUGCGUUCCAUUAGGCAGUUGGCGGGGUAACGGCCCACCAAACCUACGAUGGAUAGGGGUUCUGAGAGGAAGGUCCCCCACAUUGGAACUGAGACACGGUCCAAACUCCUACGGGAGGCAGCAGUGAGGAAUAUUGGUCAAUGGGCGUAGGCCUGAACCAGCCAAGUAGCGUGAAGGAUGACUGCCCUAUGGGUUGUAAACUUCUUUUAUAAGGGAAUAAAGUGGAGUAUGUAUACUCUUUUGUAUGUACCUUAUGAAUAAGGAUCGGCUAACUCCGUGCCAGCAGCCGCGGUAAUACGGAGGAUCCGAGCGUUAUCCGGAUUUAUUGGGUUUAAAGGGAGCGUAGGCGGAUGUUUAAGUCAGUUGUGAAAGUUUAAGGCUCAACCUUGAAAUUGCAGUUGAUACUGGACGUCUUGAGUGCAUUAAAUGUGGGCGGAAUUCGUGGUGUAGCGGUGAAAUGCUUAGAUAUCACGAAGAACUCCAAUUGCGAAGGCAGCUCACAGGACUGUAACUGACGCUGAUGCUCGAAAGUGUGGGUAUCAAACAGGAUUAGAUACCCUGGUAGUCCACACAGUAAACGAUGAAUACUCGCUGUUUGCGAUAUACAGUAAGCGGCCAAGCGAAAGCGUUAAGUAUUCCACCUGGGGAGUACGCCGGCAACGGUGAAACUCAAAGGAAUUGACGGGGGCCCGCACAAGCGGAGGAACAUGUGGUUUAAUUCGAUGAUACGCGAGGAACCUUACCCGGGCUUGAAUUGCUAAUGAAUAUAUAUGAAAGUAUAUAGCCGCAAGGCAUUAGUGAAGGUGCUGCAUGGUUGUCGUCAGCUCGUGCCGUGAGGUGUCGGCUUAA
Molecule: ribosomal RNA, 1000 nt
Filed under: uncultured bacterium
Lineage: Bacteria
Description: bacterial SSU rRNA
Rfam family: Bacterial small subunit ribosomal RNA
Source: RNAcentral